Molecule: long non-coding RNA, 1154 nt
Organism: Papaver somniferum (opium poppy)
Lineage: Eukaryota; Viridiplantae; Streptophyta; Magnoliopsida; Ranunculales; Papaveraceae
Exons: 3
Source: RefSeq, a predicted model, not a curated record
CUAGUUGUUUCUUUGUAGAUUUCUUAGACCGUUUAUCCACUGUAUGCAAGCAUGAGAAUUUCAUAACUAAGCCGUUGCUAGAUUUAUCUUUGCUUUACUGAAUACGUUUAUGUAUCACAAUUUAACCAAUGGGGGUAAAUGCUACUUCUUCCGGGUUCGUCUUGCCCAGAGCUAUAUGACUUCGUAUCCCAACCAUUUGUGUUGAGUAACUUCAAACCUUUUAAUCCAGGAAUUCUUGUUUUAUGUGUGUGUGAGAAUAACUGUGCAAUGUAAGUUAGAUCUCUCAGUUUCAUAGCUUUGAUAAAUUCCUAAGAUCAAAAUUUUGAGUAUUGCUUUGCAUGUUCAGGUCCUGCUAGAGCUUGCAAGGAACAGAAACAAAAUGCCACUGCAGAAGUCGAUUACAUGGCCUUGGAAUCCCAGUCCCACCAAAUGAAGACACACUGAUCAGCCUAACUACCACCUUGCGAUUCCCAGACAACCACUAGCCCAAGCAGAUAAAGGAAUGGAGGAAGAUGCAGAGGUGGUCAAUCCUAAACAAAACUCCAAUCUAAGUCCAUCCCAGGAACAAAAGACAAAUCGGAGACAAGCUACUCCUAAAAGAGUAUCCUUUCCCCUCGCUGGAAAAAGUCCAGGGUGAAAUCUAGUAAAUGUCAAUGUUUUCAAAGAAAACUAUUCUCUUUACUGUCCAUUUAGGUUUUUGUAUCCGAAUACAACGUUCCCACUUUAGUGCUGAGCGUAAGGAGACUCAAGUAGUACCGGUUCCACCUACCAGUGGGUCAACAACUUGGACCUUAAAGCUUGUGCUUUUACUAUGCAGCCAGAGCCUGAUAAAAAUAAAGGAUUUCAGGGGAAUUUUCGGGUAGGAAGCUUGUUGAUGGUGCUACACCAAAUCAAAUGCAGGCUACUAGUGCUGGAUUCUGGAUUGGAUAUAUCUAUCCUCAUGAAGAUCUUCAGCCGUGUUCUCAUUGGUUGUAGAGUUGGCACCACAAAUUCUGUGGGUUUUUUUUUCAGCCACGCAAUGAAUUGGAUAGGGACAGUACUGACUGAUAUUUUGAGUAUUAUUAGUUGAUAUUUGCUGCCGCACAGGGCCGUACCAAGUUUUUUAAGGGCCCUAGGCGAAAGUCGUUUUUUUUCCCGAUCGUUUAAAGUAAGAA